GUAGGUUCCACAGUUCUACGCCUGAAUCAACGUUGAUCUCAUGCGUCUCUGCAGCAACGCUAAUCACAGCAAUGCUCAAGGGAAUUUUACCGCGCAUUACCGAAGAAUUUUCGUUAGCAUAGUAUGAGAUCGUGCCUUCCACCAUGUUGAGAGUGAAGUAACGUCGAGCAUAGCCUUGGCCCUUCUUUCGGCGCUUUUUAAGCAAGGUUCCAGAAAUAAUUUGUUUAGGAGAGCCAUGGACUGAUGCAUUUGGUAUUCUCGGACCGUUGUAUGGUUGCGCGGUCAAGAGGAAGGUCACAGUUUUUGGUUUUGUUUUCGAAAAAGUGUUAUCAAACACGAAGGCAUAAAGUCCUCCAUUCUCAAUGUAGACAGAGCCCUCACUAGGCUUUUCCGACAUACAUCGCUCUCCUUGAUAAAAUAAUUCUAACCCAGCAGCACUCAACUUCUUGAUACCAGCUUCGUGAGUGUGUUGACGCUUUGUAUGCAGGAUGGAACGAUCGGUGUUUUUGUUGGAUCCAUCUAGCAAGCUAGAUGUGUCAUUCUUUUUAUGAUAUAUAUCAAACUUUAUGCUUUUCCGUUUCACAUGCAGUUGCCAACUCAGUAAGGAAUUCGAUUCCACCGUGAGCCAUUGUAUCAACAGACUCUUACUUCGUAUCUCCACAGUUUCCAUGUUGACUCAUGGACUUCUACUGUGAUAAUUGCAAAACUUAGAAAGCCUAUUUUUUUCAAUUGAUGACUGGAGAGGAAUAAAAUAAUUGCCUAAACGUAUGUGGUAAGAGAUGGAUUUUCGGUUUCGGGAUUUUCGGGCGAAUGACUCCAAGGUAUUUUACCGAUGCGGAACGUUCGGUUUUUUGGCGGCCACCUAAUGUAAUGUAUACUUAAGUAGUAAACAAAGGGCUGGUAGCGGCAAUAGGUAUGCCAGUAUGUAAA
Molecule: non-coding RNA, 930 nt
Organism: Schizosaccharomyces pombe (fission yeast)
Lineage: Eukaryota; Fungi; Ascomycota; Schizosaccharomycetes; Schizosaccharomycetales; Schizosaccharomycetaceae
Source: the annotation of a GenBank genome assembly